Camellia sinensis is the source of this 555-nucleotide non-coding RNA. NCBI's taxonomy places the organism in Eukaryota, Viridiplantae, Streptophyta, Magnoliopsida, Ericales, Theaceae. The record is from RefSeq and is a predicted model, not a curated record.
AACAAGUUGAACUAACACUUGACUUGUUUGGUUUGCAGGACAACAUAUCUCUAGUAUGGUCUUGGAUUGUUGCUGAGUCUUGAUUGGUUACACCAACUGUACAAACAUCUCAUUCCUGUGGGGGAUAUCAUGCUGCUUGCAAAAGUUUCCAAGUCCAAAUAGGUUGACUUGAUUGUUCUGACAUAUUGGCAGUCGCAUUCUUGGUCUAGGUGAUCUUGGGGUCCAGGGAAUUGGAAUACCCAUCAGGAAAACUUGACAUGUAUGUCACUGUUGCUGGUAUCAACCCACAGAGAAUUUGGGACUUCGGCAACCUUGGUUGGAAGGAGAGGAGUAUCUAUCAAUUGUUGAUGAAUUUAUGGAGGCAAUUCUCGCCUGUUGGCCCAAGGCUAUUGUGCAGUUUCAGGAUUUUCAAAUGAAGUGGGCUUUCGAAAGAUUGCAACAGUAUCAAAAAAGGUUCUGUAUGUUCAAUAAUGACAUACAAGUGAAUACUUGGUGUUGCAUUCUGCUAUUCUCCAUGGAAAUAGUAAAGAAUAUAAUAAGGCAAAGUACUUUAAG